AAUCGAUUGUUUGGUUUUUUCUGAAAAACUUUCAAGUCUCUGUAAUUGACAAGGAAAAAUUUGUGGAUCAUCCAACAAUCGAUUGUCAGGCUAGACAAUCGAUUGUUUGAAUUUUUUUUUCUGGAAAAAUUUUUCAGUCUGGAAACGUUUCAACUCACAAAAGUUAACUGCCAGAAUUUUAAACGAUUCAGACAAUCGAUUGUCUAGCC
Molecule: long non-coding RNA, 209 nt
Filed under: Nicotiana benthamiana
Lineage: Eukaryota; Viridiplantae; Streptophyta; Magnoliopsida; Solanales; Solanaceae
Description: long non-coding RNA (NBEN_LNC033978)
Source: RNAcentral